GCGCCUGUAGCUCAUCCGGAUAGAGCAUCGCCCUUCUAAGGCGAGGGUAACAGGUUCGAGUCCUGUCAGGCGCACCA
RNAcentral lists this transfer RNA (77 nucleotides) under Gammaproteobacteria bacterium. RNAcentral describes it as "tRNA-Arg". It matches the Rfam family "tRNA". Rfam says of the family: Transfer RNA (tRNA) molecules are approximately 80 nucleotides in length. Their secondary structure includes four short double-helical elements and three loops (D, anti-codon, and T loops). The record is from RNAcentral. Lineage: Bacteria; Pseudomonadati; Pseudomonadota; Gammaproteobacteria.